AGAGUUUGAUCCUGGCUCAGGAUGAACGCUAGCGGCAGGCCUAAUACAUGCAAGUCGAACGGUAAAUAUUUAGCAAUAAAUAUGAGAGUGACGUACGGGUGCGUAACACGUAUGCAACCUACCCUUUACAGGCGGAUAGCUCGGGGAAACUCGAAUUAACCCGCCGUAAUAUAAUUGGAUGGCAUCAUCUGGUUAUUAAAUCUACGGAGGUAAAGGAUGGGCAUGCGUCUGAUUAGUUAGUUGGCGGGGUAACGGCCCACCAAGACGAUGAUCAGUAGGGGAACUGAGAGGUUGAUCCCCCACACUGGCACUGAGAUACGGGCCAGACUCCUACGGGAGGCAGCAGUAGGGAAUAUUGGUCAAUGGAUGGAAGUCUGAACCAGCCAUGCCGCGUGCAGGAAGAAGGCCUUCUGGGUUGUAAACUGCUUUUGCCAGGGGAUAAAAUGACCUUGCGAGGUUAAUUGAAGGUACCUGGUGAAUAAGCCACGGCUAACUACGUGCCAGCAGCCGCGGUAAUACGUAGGUGGCAAGCGUUGUCCGGAUUUAUUGGGUUUAAAGGGUGCGUAGGCGGCUUAUUAAGUCAGUGGUGAAAUACUCUAGCUCAACUAGAGGGGUGCCAUUGAUACUGAUGAGCUUGAGUACAGAUGAGGUAGGCGGAAUUGACGGUGUAGCGGUGAAAUGCUUAGAUAUCGUCAAGAACACCUAUAGCGAAGGCAGCUUACUAGGCUGUAACUGACGCUGAGGCACGAAAGUGUGGGGAUCAAACAGGAUUAGAUACCCUGGUAGUCCACACUGUAAACGUUGAUUACUCGCUGUGUGCGAUAUACAGUACGCGGCGCCGCUAACGCAUGAAGCAUUCCGCCUGGGGAGUACGCCGGCAACGGUGAAACUCAAAGGAAUUGACGGGGGCCCGCACAAGCGGUGGAGCAUGUGGUUUAAUUCGACGCAACGCGCAGAACCUUACCAGCCCUUGACAUGGGACGUUUGGGCCUGAGAGAUCGGGUCCUUCAGUUCGGCUGGCGUCCACACAGGUGCUGCAUGGCUGUCGUCAGCUCGUGUCGUGAGAUGUUGGGUUAAGUCCCGCAACGAGCGCAACCCUCAUCCUUAGUUGCCAUCAGGUAGGGCUGGGCACUCUAGGGAAACUGCCGGUGACAAGCCGGAGGAAGGCGGGGAUGACGUCAAGUCCUCAUGGCCCUUACGGGCUGGGCUACACACGUGCUACAAUGGCGGUGACAGUAGGAAGCAAUGGGGCGACCCGGAGCCAAUCCACUAAAAGCCGUCUCAGUUCGGAUUGUUCUCUGCAACUCGAGAGCAUGAAGCUGUAAUCGCUAGUAAUCGCGGAUCAGCACGCCGCGGUGAAUACGUUCCCGGGCCUUGUACACACCGCCCGUCACACCAUGGGAGUUGGUUUUACCUGAAGCCGGUGGGCUAACCGCAAGGAGGCAGCCGACCACGGUAGGGUCAGCGACUGGGGUGAAGUCGGAACAAGGUA
This 1492-nucleotide ribosomal RNA is filed under the name metagenome. Its description in RNAcentral is "bacterial SSU rRNA". It matches the Rfam family "Bacterial small subunit ribosomal RNA". The record is from RNAcentral.